Molecule: ribosomal RNA, 253 nt
Filed under: uncultured bacterium
Lineage: Bacteria
Description: partial 16S ribosomal RNA
Rfam family: Bacterial small subunit ribosomal RNA
Source: RNAcentral
CACGUAGGGCGCAAGCGUUGUCCGGAAUUAUUGGGCGUAAAGAGCUCGUAGGCGGACUGUCACGUCUGCUGUGAAAAGCUGGGGCUUAACCCUGGCCUUGCAGUGGAUACGGGCAGACUAGAGGUAGGUAGGGGAGAAUGGAAUUCCCGGUGUAGCGGUGAAAUGCGCAGAUAUCAGGAAGAACACCCGUGGCUAAGGCGGCUCUCUAGUACGGUACUGACGCUGAGACGCGAAAGCGUGGGGAGCGAACAGG